AACCUCCGCAAUGUGAGAAAUCGCGACGGGGGGAUCCCAAGUGCCAUUCUUAACGGGAUGGCUUUUCAUUAGUGUAAAGAGCUUUUGGAAUAAGAGCUGGGCAAGACCGGUGCCAGCCGCCGCGGUAACACCGGCAGCUCUAGUGGUAGCAAUUUUUAUUGGGCCUAAAGCGUCCGUAGCCGGUUUAAUAAGUCUCUGGUGAAAUCCUGUAGCUUAACUGUGGGAAUUGCUGGAGAUACUAUUAGACUUGAGACCGGGAGAGGUUAGAGGUACUCCCAGGGUAGAGGUGAAAUUCUGUAAUCCUGGGAGGACCGCCUGUUGCGAAGGCGUCUAACUGGAACGGUUCUGACGGUGAGGGACGAAAGUUAGGGGCGCGAACCGGAUUAGAUACCCGGGUAGUCCUAACUGUAACGAUGCGGACUUGGUGUUGGGGUGGCUUUGAGCUGCUCCAGUGCCGAAGGGAAGCUGUUAAGUCCGCCGCCUGGGAAGUACGGUCGCAAGACUGAAACUUAAAGGAAUU
This 520-nucleotide ribosomal RNA is filed under the name uncultured bacterium. RNAcentral describes it as "bacterial SSU rRNA". It matches the Rfam family "Archaeal small subunit ribosomal RNA", at positions 345 to 866 of the family's 1478-position model. The record is from RNAcentral.